RNAcentral lists this transfer RNA (93 nucleotides) under Scleropages formosus (Asian bonytongue). It matches the Rfam family "tRNA". Rfam says of the family: Transfer RNA (tRNA) molecules are approximately 80 nucleotides in length. Their secondary structure includes four short double-helical elements and three loops (D, anti-codon, and T loops). Further hydrogen bonds mediate the characteristic L-shaped molecular structure. tRNAs have two regions of fundamental functional importance: the anti-codon, which is responsible for specific mRNA codon recognition, and the 3' end, to which the tRNAs corresponding amino acid is attached (by aminoacyl-tRNA synthetases). tRNAs cope with the degeneracy of the genetic code in two manners: having more than one tRNA (with a specific anti-codon) for a particular amino acid; and 'wobble' base-pairing, i.e. permitting non-standard base-pairing at the 3rd anti-codon position. The record is from Rfam by way of RNAcentral. Lineage: Eukaryota; Metazoa; Chordata; Actinopteri; Osteoglossiformes; Osteoglossidae.
GCUCCAGUGGCGCAAUUGGUUAGUGCAUGGUACUUAUACAGCAGUACUCAGCAAGAGAUGCCAAGGUUGUGAGUUCAAGCCUCACCUGGAGCA